RNAcentral lists this Y RNA (114 nucleotides) under Propithecus coquereli (Coquerel's sifaka). Its description in RNAcentral is "Y RNA (ENSPCOG00000006669.1)". It matches the Rfam family "Y RNA". Rfam says of the family: Y RNAs are components of the Ro ribonucleoprotein particle (Ro RNP), in association with Ro60 and La proteins. The Y RNAs and Ro60 and La proteins are well conserved, but the function of the Ro RNP is not known. Lineage: Eukaryota; Metazoa; Chordata; Mammalia; Primates; Indriidae. The record is from Rfam by way of RNAcentral.
GGCUGGACUGAAGGUGGUGAGUUCUCUCAAUUGAUUGUUCGCAGUCAGUUACAGAUUGAACUCCUUGUUCUGCUACUUUCCCCCCUUCUCACUACUGCACUUGAUUAGUCUUAA